Molecule: ribosomal RNA, 254 nt
Filed under: uncultured bacterium
Lineage: Bacteria
Description: partial 16S ribosomal RNA
Rfam family: Bacterial small subunit ribosomal RNA
Source: RNAcentral
GACAGAGGCCCCAAGCGUUAGGCGGAAUCACUGGGCGUAAAGCGCGCGUAGGCGGCUCUUUAAGUCCGGGGUGAAAGGUCCAGCGCUCAACGCGGACAGUGCCCUGGAGACUGGGGGGCUUGAGUGUGGCAGGGGGGACCGGAAUUCCUGGUGUAGCGGUGAAAUGCGUAGAUAUCAGGAGGAACACCGGUGGCGAAGGCGGGUCCCUGGGCUAACACUGACGCUGAGGCGCGAAAGCGUGGGGAGCGAACAGG